AGAGAGAGACAUGCGCGCAUAUCAAUAAGCGGAGGAAAAGAAACUAACAAGGAUUCCCCUAGUAACGGCGAGUGAAGCGGGAAGAGCUCAAAUUUGAAAUCUUAAAGGGUUUCCCUUUACGAAUUGUAGUUUAAAGAAGUGUUUUCUGUUGAGGUUUUGGUAAAAGUUCUUUGGAAUAGGACAUCAUAGAGGGUGAGAAUCCCGUAUUUGACCUUUACUUUCAACUUUGUGAUACACUUUCAAAGAGUCGGAUUGUUUGGGAAUGCAGUCCAAAAUGGGUGGUAAAUUUCAUCUAAAGCUAAAUAUUGGCGAGAGACCGAUAGCGAACAAGUACCGUGAGGGAAAGAUGAAAAGAACUUUGAAAAGAGAGUUAAACAGUACGUGAAAUUGUCAAAAGGGAAGCGUUUGACACCAGUGUUGUUUUUCUGAAAAUCAAUUAAAGAACUGUUUAUGCUAAGCUGUUUAGACUUUAUCAGCUAACUGUUUAGUUUUGAGCUUUUCUUUAAUGCACUUUUCAGUUAACAAGUCAACAUCAAUUUCUUUUGCUGUAAAAAAGCUUGAGGAAGGUGGCUUGAGAUUCGUCUUAAGUGUUUAUAGCCUCUUGCCUAUGCAGUCGGAGAGAUUGAGGUCUGCAGCGUAGAUCCUUCGGGGCUAAAUGCAUUUGUGCUAAGUUAUAGCAUUUUAUAGACAACUUGUUGACUAUGAUUUGUCUUGUAGCUUACUCGCUUAUGUUAUUUUACCUACGCUUAGGAUGUUGAAGACUCUACAGAGAUA
Molecule: ribosomal RNA, 774 nt
Filed under: uncultured Neocallimastigales
Lineage: Eukaryota; Fungi; Neocallimastigomycota; Neocallimastigomycetes; Neocallimastigales
Description: partial large subunit ribosomal RNA
Rfam family: Eukaryotic large subunit ribosomal RNA
Source: RNAcentral